AGUCGAGGGGCAGCAUAUAGAUUGCUUGCAAUUUAUGAUGGCGACCGGCGCACGGGUGAGUAACGCGUAUCCAACCUACCCAUUACUAGGGAAUAACCCAGCGAAAGUUGGCCUAAUGCCCUAUGUAGUCGUUUGAUCGCCUGAGAUUUCGACGAAAGAUUUAUCGGUAUUGGAUGGGGAUGCGUCUGAUUAGCUUGUUGGCGGGGUAAAGGCCCACCAAGGCAACGAUCAGUAGGGGUUCUGAGAGGAAGGUCCCCCACUGGAACUGAGACACGGUCCAAACUCCUACGGGAGGCAGCAGUGAGGAAUAUUGGUCAAUGGGCGAGAGCCUGAACCAGCCAAGUAGCGUGCAGGAUGACGGCCCUAUGGGUUGUAAACUGCUUUUAUAUGGGAAUAAAGUGAGGGACGUGUCCCUUAUUGCGUGUACCAUACGAAUAAGGACCGGCUAAUUCCGUGCCAGCAGCCGCGGUAAUACGGAAGGUCCAGGCGUUAUCCGGAUUUAUUGGGUUUAAAGGGAGCGUAGGCUGUUUGUUAAGCGUGUUGUGAAAUGUAGGAGCUCAACUUUUAGAUUGCAGCGCGAACUGGCAGACUUGAGUGCGCACAACGUAGGCGGAAUUCAUGGUGUAGCGGUGAAAUGCUUAGAUAUCAUGACGAACUCCGAUUGCGAAGGCAGCUUACGGGAGCGCAACUGACGCUAAAGCUCGA
Molecule: ribosomal RNA, 705 nt
Filed under: uncultured bacterium
Lineage: Bacteria
Description: bacterial SSU rRNA
Rfam family: Bacterial small subunit ribosomal RNA
Source: RNAcentral